GAUUUGGGUGUCUUUGCCGGUCUUGCGAUCGGCUCACCCUAAAUGCAUUAGCUGGCUUUUGGGUCCGCGAACUCGGUGUGAUAAUUGUCACUCGCUGAGAUUUCGUAACCUUAAGGAAGCUGCUUCCAAUCGUCUCCUUCGGGAGACAAUACAUCUAAGUGUUUGACCUCAAAUCAGGUAGGACUACCCGCUGAACUUAA
This 200-nucleotide unclassified non-coding RNA is filed under the name soil metagenome. RNAcentral's name for it is "partial contains internal transcribed spacer 2 and large subunit ribosomal RNA". The record is from RNAcentral.